Molecule: ribosomal RNA, 571 nt
Filed under: uncultured bacterium
Lineage: Bacteria
Description: partial 16S ribosomal RNA
Source: RNAcentral
AGGCCUGUCCAAUGCGGUGAAAGAAGUUUUCGUUCGUCUGUAUAAAGAAGACCUGAUUUACCGUGGCAAACGCCUGGUAAACUGGGAUCCGAAACUGCGCACCGCUAUCUCUGACCUGGAAGUCGAAAACCGCGAAUCGAAAGGUUCGAUGUGGCACAUCCGCUAUCCGCUGGCUGACGGUGCGAAAACCGCAGACGGUAAAGAUUAUCUGGUGGUCGCGACUACCCGUCCAGAAACCCUGCUGGGCGAUACUGGCGUAGCCGUUAACCCGGAAGAUCCGCGUUACAAAGAUCUGAUUGGCAAAUAUGUCAUUCUGCCGCUGGUUAACCGUCGUAUUCCGAUCGUUGGCGACGAACACGCCGACAUGGAAAAAGGCACCGGCUGCGUGAAAAUCACUCCGGCGCACGACUUUAACGACUAUGAAGUGGGGUAACGUCACGCCCUGCCGAUGAUCAACAUCCCUGACUUUUGACGGCGAUAUCCGUGAAAGCGCCCAGNUGUUCGAUACCAAAGGUAACGAAUCUGACGUUUAUCCCAGCGAAAUCCCUGCAGAAGUUCCAGAAACUGGAGC